RNAcentral lists this ribosomal RNA (253 nucleotides) under uncultured bacterium. RNAcentral describes it as "partial 16S ribosomal RNA". It matches the Rfam family "Bacterial small subunit ribosomal RNA", at positions 524 to 776 of the family's 1533-position model. The record is from RNAcentral.
UACGUAGGGGGCUAGCGUUGUCCGGAAUCAUUGGGCGUAAAGCGCGUGUAGGCGGUCCGGUAAGUCCGCUGUGAAAGUCGGGGGCUCAACCCUCGAAUGCCGGUGGAUACUGUCGGGCUAGAGUACGGAAGAGGCGAGUGGAAUUCCUGGUGUAGCGGUGAAAUGCGCAGAUAUCAGGAGGAACACCGAUUGCGAAGGCAGCUCGCUGGGACGUCACUGACGCUGAGACGCGAAAGCGUGGGGAGCAAACAGG